UACAAUCACUGUCUGGGAGAAGGGAGGUGUGUUUGGGUAGCUAUUUAGAGCAGAUAACCUGUGAUUACUCCCUAGGACGAAGGAAUUUGGGCUGGCAAACCCAGAGGAGUCGAGAGACCUAGAAGUUAUGGAAGAGGCUUAGGGAAAGGCAGCAAGCUUCAGGAGGGAACAGAUCAUGGCUGCUGUCUAGUGGGUCCCUGAGCUGGAACUCAAAGCAGAGAGUGGGUCUGGGUUCCCCUACUGGCCACUGGGGAAGUGGCACCAUCAGAGCAGUGCUGAAGAAUGACUGCCUCAGACUGACUGUUUGUGCGAAAGGACUUUGGUACCCCUGAAAGGGGAAAACAUGUAGUGAAGUGACCUGUCUGGAGGGCUGAGUCAUGAAGAGGUGGCUGCAGUUCCUGGAAUGAGAGAGGGGCUGCGGAGAGAGGAAAAGACAGAGUGAUUGAGUGGGACCACUGGAAAGGGCAUAGGCCUGUCAGAGCUAAUCCCUGUAUCUGCUAGGAGGUGGUGCAGUCCAGGGAUGAGUAAAGCCCAUACCACACUCCUAUUGACAUCAGCAUCGUAGGAUCAGGUCCUAAAUAUAUUUGAUUUAGCAUGGCUGGAUUUACUGGGGAGGAUGUUCCACAGGAAUAGGGACCCAAAUCUGAAAGUGGCUGAACAUCUUCACUUUCCCCUAAAGCAAUGGCCCCCAGACUUUUCAUGGUUGUGAGCCCCAUACCCCUGUCUGUGCCCCUCCCCAGGAAACAGGGAAGGGAGCACAGACAGGGGUAAUGGGGCUGCAGCUGGGGGCACAGCUGUGGCUGGGAGCACUGCUGGGGGCAGGGUUGGGGCCAGGUCAGGAGGGGAAGCUGGCCCAGGCUCUGCUGCACCCCCCACGAACAUUCCUCUGUACUCCCCCUUCGGGGGGUGUCUCACAGUUUGGGGACUUCUGCACUAAAGCCAAUGGGAUCUGAGGAUGCUCCAUUGCUUUUGGGGGGAUCAGCAUCUCCCAGCUCUGGAACCUAAGGAUGCAAGUUUUAAAGAAUGCUAGGUCCAGUGCAGAGAGGUGAAAGCCAAUGCAGAACACACCCAUAAGGGAACAGCAGCAGGAACCGUCCAAAAAACACUGGGUGUUGGAUUUAGACUGAAGGCUCCCUCAGCCCAC
Molecule: long non-coding RNA, 1144 nt
Organism: Mauremys reevesii (Reeves's turtle)
Lineage: Eukaryota; Metazoa; Chordata; Testudines; Geoemydidae
Exons: 3
Source: RefSeq, a predicted model, not a curated record